UACUCGAGUGGCGAACGGGUGAGUAACACGUGGGUGAUCUGCCCUGCGCUUCGGGAUAAGCUUGGGAAACUGGGUCUAAUACCGGAUAGGAGCCAUCUUUAGUGUGGUGGUUGGAAAGUUUUUUCGGUGUAGGAUGAGCUCGCGGCCUAUCAGCUUGUUGGUGGGGUAAUGGCCUACCAAGGCGGCGACGGGUAGCCGGCCUGAGAGGGUGUACGGCCACAUUGGGACUGAGAUACGGCCCAG
Molecule: ribosomal RNA, 243 nt
Filed under: uncultured Actinomycetales bacterium
Lineage: Bacteria; Bacillati; Actinomycetota; Actinomycetes; Actinomycetales
Description: partial 16S ribosomal RNA
Rfam family: Bacterial small subunit ribosomal RNA
Source: RNAcentral